CCUUGGAACUGCAUUUUUAACUGCCGAGCUAGAGUAUGUCAGAGGGGGGUAGAAUUCCACGUGUAGCAGUGAAAUGCGUAGAUAUGUGGAGGAAUACCGAUGGCGAAGGCAGCCCCCUGGGAUAAUACUGACGCUCAGACACGAAAGCGUGGGGAGCAAACAGGAUUAGAUACCCUGGUAGUCCACGCCCUAAACGAUGUCAACUAGCUGUUGGGGCCGUUAGGCCUUAGUAGCGCAGCUAACGCGUGAAGUUGACCGCCUGGGGAGUACGGUCGCAAGAUUAAAACUCAAAGGAAUUGACGGGGACCCGCACAAGCGGUGGAUGAUGUGGAUUAAUUCGAUGCAACGCGAAAAACCUUACCUACCCUUGACAUGUCUGGAAUGCCGAAGAGAUUUAGCAGUGCUCGCAAGAGAACCGGAACACAGGUGCUGCAUGGCUGUCGUCAGCUCGUGUCGUGAGAUGUUGGGUUAAGUCCCGCAACGAGCGCAACCCUUGUCAUUAGUUGCUACGCAAGAGCACUCUAAUGAGACUGCCGGUGACAAACCGGAGGAAGGUGGGGAUGACGUCAAGUCCUCAUGGCCCUUAUGGGUAGGGCUUCACACGUCAUACAAUGGUCGGGACAGAGGGUCGCCAACCCGCGAGGGGGAGCCAAUCUCAGAAACCCGAUCGUAGUCCGGAUCGCAGUCUGCAACUCGACUGCGUGAAGUCGGAAUCGCUAGUAAUCGCGGAUCAGAAUGUCGCGGUGAAUACGUUCCCGGGUCUUGUACACACCGCCCGUCACACCAUGGGAGUGGGUUUCACCAGAAGUAGGUAGCCUAACCGCAAGGAGGGCGCUUACCACGGUGGGAUUCAUGACUGGGGUGAAGUCGUAACAAGGUAAC
RNAcentral lists this ribosomal RNA (882 nucleotides) under uncultured bacterium. Its description in RNAcentral is "bacterial SSU rRNA". It matches the Rfam family "Bacterial small subunit ribosomal RNA", at positions 613 to 1500 of the family's 1533-position model. The record is from RNAcentral.